RNAcentral lists this non-coding RNA (26 nucleotides) under Rattus norvegicus (Norway rat). Lineage: Eukaryota; Metazoa; Chordata; Mammalia; Rodentia; Muridae. The record is from RNAcentral.
UACUUGGUGGGUGUUUAAAACAAUGU